GUAGGUGAACCUGCGGAAGGAUCAUUAAGAAAACGGGGAGGCGUGUGCUCGAUUUCUUUGGAAUCGGGACGCGGCUCCUUUUGGUAUCCAAAUUCAUUAUUUUUGUUUCGGAAUCCGGCUAUCGCAUGCUCGAUUCCCAAAUCGAAUAGCAACAAAACUUUCAACAAUGGAUCUCUUGGCUCUUGCAUCGAUGAAGAACGCAGCAUCUGACUGACUAAGAUUCG
RNAcentral lists this unclassified non-coding RNA (224 nucleotides) under plant metagenome. RNAcentral describes it as "partial contains small subunit ribosomal RNA, internal transcribed spacer 1, and 5.8S ribosomal RNA". The stretch from base 156 to 224 matches the Rfam family "5.8S ribosomal RNA". The record is from RNAcentral.